AUGCCAACACUGUGAGGAGGAUUUUUGGCCUUGGAUCUGCAGACCUCGACAAUGAUCUUCUUUCUUGGCAUAUUACUUAUGGGCCUUUCAGGUAAUACCCAUGGGAAAGAAAUCACUCCAAACAGUGUUGAACUUAUCAAGGUGGAGGGAGAUGAUUUAACCCUCUCCUGUAGCUACAGCUCUGGAAACUAUCUACAGUGGUAUCGGCAGUACCCAAGAUCAGCACCCCAGUUUCUCUUGUUUAUCACCAGUCCUGAUACGCCAGGGACAUCAGAGGAGGAUACUCGAUUGUCUGGGAGAAUGAAUGAGGAGAGAAAUCAAAUGUUCCUGGACAUCUCAUCUGCUAAACUCACAGACUCUGCUCUCUACUACUGUGCCAUGAGGCCCACAAUGAAGGAAACAGGCACACUGUAGUACAAAAACUCACAUGACAUGACAUGAGAGGACUUGCACUAUACUGAACUCUCCUGCAUCACACCUUAGCCUUCUCUCCUUUCAAAAGCUGUGCACAAAGUGGUAACCACAGAGAUUAAAGACAUUAAUAAAUGCAUACUGUUCUUAUUCCAUA
Molecule: non-coding RNA, 568 nt
Organism: Alosa sapidissima (American shad)
Lineage: Eukaryota; Metazoa; Chordata; Actinopteri; Clupeiformes; Clupeidae
Source: the annotation of a RefSeq genome assembly